GGGUCACCAGGAGAAACACUGAUGCUGCAGUGGCAGAGCGAGAAGAAGCUGUGCUAGCUAGCACCUGUCAUGGCGUUAAGCCAUCCCAUGCCCACCAGAACAGGACUCGCUGGCGGUCUCUGACAAGAUCAGCAUGUAACAGGUUUGAGCGGGAUUGACAAAAUCAUCUACGGGCGGCAUGUGAAAGGCGCCUCAGAGCUGCAUCAUCAAACAUCAUAAAUACAGACUUCCCAUGCGCUGAGUGCGGCCGACUCUGUGCAUCAGGGUUCGGACUUCGGAGUCACAUGCGUAGCCAUAGAGAAGAACUGUGACAAUAUCAUCAUCAGCGAUGGUCUACCAACACCCACCAGAUUCAGCUUGAAGUGGAAGGGCCGAAGCAUUGUAAAGAAAGUCCGUACUUGUGGUAGUUCUAGCCCGACAAAGAGCAAGAAGCAUAAAUCUCCUGAGAAGAUGGCAAGGGAGAGAUUUCCACUCCACUUCUGGAGAAGCAAGACGUUUGGCUCAAGUUCAGGUUCCAGCAAAGGAUACUUGGCAGGAUUAGGCUGAUGAAGACCCCCUCCCCCAAUCACAGAGAGAUAACAGUACCUCAAAGAGAAGAAGCUGCCCAGACGACAGACAGAAGGUGUCCCAGGAGCAGAACCAUCUCUCAGCGACCUCUGCUGUCCCCUCCACCUCCUGAUACCUCUUCACACAGUGGGACCUCUGGCUCCCUCUCAGCAGGUAUUAUUGCUUGGCAACUCAGCCCACAACCCAUCAAUCGCAGCCAUGGCCACGAGGGAAGUCGAAGUCUGUGCUUAGUUUUAUAAGCUGGUCUGUCCAGGUGACGCCGUGUCAGGGUCUGGGUGCAGCCAUUAGCUGUGUCUGCUGUUAAAAGAAGAGCAAUUAUGUAAACAUGGCCUUUCUUUACUCAACACGUGGCACUGGCCCUGUGCAUUGCACUGAGGAAGGGAGGAAGGAUGGGCUUGUGGUUAAGGCGGAGAACUGGGUUCAAUUCCUGGCUCUGCCAUAGGUUUCCUGUGUGACCUUGGGCCAGUCACAUAUUCCAUAGGUGCCUCUGAUCCCCAUGGGUAAAGUGGGGAUAAUAUUCCCUUCCUCCCAGCCCUUGUCUAUUUGGACUGUAACCCGGAGUAUCUCACACUACGUGUGUGAGCAGUGCCCAGCGCAAUGGAGCCCUGAUCCUCACUGGGGUCUCUGGGCACUGCCGUAAGACAUGUAAUAAUCGGCUGACUUUACCGCUUGCUGCAAAAAGUUCCUAUGCUCGUUAGCCCUGUUGGACCAGCUGCAGCUGCAGGAAAGUGAGCUGGGGCCCCUUCAGCUUCCCUGAGCAAAUGGCCUGCUUGGUUCCUGCUGCAGAAUCUUUCCUAGCAGCCCUGGUGUCGGAGGCAGGAAGGGCCCAGCAGAAGUUGUGGACACGGAGGGAGGUUGGAGGGUUGUUUGCAGCAUCAACAGAAAAAUUGAGCCCAUUAGGUCUGGUAAGAUCAUUUGAGCAGAUACUGCACUUAUUUAUCUACCUCCCCACACACACACUCACCUCAUUGCCUCUGCUGGGGUGAGGGGGCUGGCCCAGUGGAAGAGAGUGGCAGGGAGUUCACAAUCCCCCUUUCACAGAAGUGCCUUACAGAGCGUAACUGUGCUAUAACAGAAUGGAAAUCCCUGCCCGGCGGGCACACAGGGGAUAUGCAGCAACAAUCCUAGGGUGUGAGCAGCUACAUGAGAGGCAAACCAAGACCCUCUGCCAUGAUUUCACGGCAGUGUCCUUCCAUGAGUCAAAUUCAGCAACUUGGUCCCCUCCUUCCUCCUGCCCUCUGCUGCACUAGGACAGACCAAGGAGCCAGUGCCACUAUGCUCAUGAAACACUCGGCUCUUCAUUAUUGGGGACAGAGGACAUUUACAGCAGCUUUGGCCAUCCAUGGGACAGUGGUACAGCAUGCGUUACUUCAGCACUCUCUCAUGGCGAGGACGCAUAGGGCAGCAGACCGCCUCUGGGACCAUGCCUGGGCCACGUGGCAGUGGGUUCCACCUUACUGUGCUGCGGUGUUUGCUCUGCAGACAUUUCCUCUCUCACGUUGUAUCUUAUGAAUCUGCUGCUCGCCCUACAGCAUUGCAGUCACUGUGCAGGAAUCACCUGGCUUAUCAUGUGAUCACCAGAUUUCCAAAAGGAUUCAGUGCGAUACAUAUGGGUAACCAGCCACUGGAUGGCGCUCUCAUCCCACACAAAAUGCCACCCAAAUGGCAUUUAUCUGGCCUGUAGAUGAAGCAGUGGGUAGCAUGGUGAUCCAGCCAGCUGUAACAGGGCUACAGUAUCCAGUAUGGCGAGACUAUACCAAACACAGUGAAAGAGACAACAAUUCUAUGGCUGCUGUACCAGGUAUGGUGAGGAUAUGAACACACAGUCAGUCAGGGCACCAGAGGGGGAACCAUUUCACAAGCUGGAUAAAUUCACUUCCCUGUUUACAAAGCCACCUGUUAGAAAGCAGUACACAGCUAAGAGCACGUGCCCCUUAACUGGCAGGCUGCAGCCGAGGGCUUAUCUACAUGCACAAGUUGCACUGGUUUAACUUCAAUCAGUUUAGUGAAACUUGUGAAACUUUUUUUCAUGGACUCUCUCAUAGAAGUUUAAAACUAGUUAUGCUGUUUUAGUUUGCACCUGCACAUUUACUGAAGCGCCAAACUGCUAUAAGCCAGGUUUACACUACGAGAGGAGUGUCCACACACAAAGCUGCACCAGUUUCACUAAACUGGUGCAAAAUAACACCUGUAGUUAAAUAAGCACAGAUUUGGACUGUCUUUUACCAGAUCCAACGUGCUGAGAACUGGGGAGAUUCAAUACACCACACACUUUCUGGCAGUUCAGCCCCAGGGGCUGCUGGCCUGGAGAGGCCUGGUUAGGAUUGGGUCAGAGUCCCCAUGCUGGGCCAGUUUGACAAGGCAGGGGAACUUGUUUGUUUGAAUCCACUCGGUAAUUACUGCCUCUUAGCAUCCGUUAAGUGCCAGUGCCCAGACCCCAGCCCUCCCCACACUGUAGUGAUGCGUUUGUGAAACACACGGUGUUUGCGGUUGACCAGAGCUCUGAAAUAAGUGAGGCCGGAAUUCAUGCACUGUUCUGUAUCCUGAUGUGGUAAGGAGCUCAGGCCUGCCUGAGGGAGGGCGGGGGGGAUAACGGAGGCUGCUGGUGCCAGCAGAGGCUGUGAGGCCACUGCCAAGAGCCUGUGCAGGGGCCCUCCGAGGCUCCAGCCAGCUCAACCUGGCACUAACGGAACUGUGAUAAAAAUGAAUCUGUCCAGGACACCGGAGGGGGGGGAGAUUAAUGUCUGAAUUGUCAACAAGCAAGCGAACAAAUGUCACAGGAGGAAACGAAGGGCUGACGAGAAUCAAACAGAUCUUAGGGGUGAGAUGCUGCUUCCCCCACCGCGUGCUGAGCUGUACGGCCCUGCUGCUCCUUUGCCGCUGCAGCAUUGCCCAGCCAUGAGAGGAGUGGGAGGGAAGCCCACACUGUCCCCUAGGGUAGCCUUGUGGUGCACAUUUCAACCUGCCUCCUGAUGUUUAGCUGGCAGAUCAUAAAGGCACCUCCUGGAUCCCCAGGGUAGGGGGAUGGCCUGGCUCGUCAAUAACUCUGUCCAAGUGCUAAUGUUAGAAACAUUGAUUACCUGGCAUGGUGUUGUGAUCUCCCUGUGGGGGAAUCCCUGCUGACACUUCGCAAUCCAAAUACAAAGUAGCCAGGUGUUCCCCUGGUCAGUCACCCUGCUGCAUCCCAUUCCAGAGCUGGCUGCAUUUCAGUGGUGGGUGGAAUGUUUUCCUCUUGAAAGCAGUGGGAGUUCCAGCCAUGUACCCGAGGAUCCUAGUUUGUAAUAAAGCACUUCACACUUUCAGGUGCUAUAGAAAUGGUAAGUUAUUACUAUCAGUCCAUCCUGCAUCUUCCCCACCAGCAGACACCUGGAUAGAUGCGUGUUUAUCUCUUUGCCCAGUUGGCUUCCAAAAACACUAUUUUAAAAGCAUCCACUAAAAUUUCCCCUGUUUCUUUGUCCGUUGCCUCUAGGGUUCUGGAAUGGACCCCACAGCAACUGCUCAGUCUUCAGUUCUCAUUUCUUGACUGCAUAGUUUUCCUCCAGAGUUUUCUCCUUCCUUCCUUUUCAGUGAACUUCAGUCCAGUUGCAGCAGCAGCUCUGUCUCUUGCUUUCCCUCCUUAUCCUUGUCUCAUGUAGACAAAAGCAAGUAGAGGUUUGCACCACCAGAGCUAAUUGGGAUUUAGGGUUGAACCUUGAUUAACUCAAUCACUGCAAGCCCCAGCUUGCCCUUGUCUACUGCGUCUCAGAGCCCAGGUCAGUUGACUUGGGCUGCAAAGCUAAAGGUAGCAGUGUGGACAUUUGGGUUUGCACUGCAACCUGGGUUCCCAAACCCGCAGAGGGUCUCAUUCCCCAGGCUUCAGCCCAAGCCCGAACAUCUAUGCUGCUAUUUUUAGCCCCACUGCCUGAACCUGCGAGCCUGAGUCAAUCGACGCAGGCGCUGAGACUCAGUGCCGUGGGUUUUCUUUGCAGUGUAGAUGUAGACUUAGGGGUUAGCAUUGAAGCUAACCAGCCAGCAGCUACAUCGAUUGCUGUAUCAGGGCUAUUCCCAAGCAGAGACAAGGCCUUUAUAAACAAUGAGGCAAGCAGUUUAGUUAGCUUACUCUGGGGCCAGUGUGUGCAGUCCUUGCAGUUCAUAAAUUCUCCCUUGCCAUAUGUGUGACUCCAGUGUAUGUAUGGUAACCUGCCAUAUCUUCUCUAUGUCAAUCUCCUUCCCCAUUCUCCACCUUAGGCAGGGAUCUUUUCCACUCUUUGUGUUUCUCCCUUCAGUAUAUAGGACUCCUUUGUACCCCCUUAUCUGUCCCACAUUAGUAUGGUCUUAUUCAUGGCAUCUCGGUUUAAGAAUGCUAGGCCUUGAGCACCUGCUUAUUGAACUGUCUGCUUCCACUGUGUGACAUCUAUUCAUAUCACCCUGGGCUCCUGCCCCUUUAUUAUGCAUUUGGGGCAUUUCCAAUUCCCCCCCCUUUACUGGCCUCACUUUAGGCCUAGAUUACAGUGGCUCCUUCACACCUCUUCCCCUUCCAACCAUCCGUGCCCUCUCUGAGUUGCUCCCAACCACAUCAAGAACUGCUCCCUGUCUACUCUCUCCUGAAGGGAGGGGAUUCAAGGAUCUCUCUCCCCCCACACACUUAUUGGGGGAUGAAGUCAGCCUGUAUCUUGCCCACAAUGCCAUGGUUUAGUUUACCCCAUCAGGUUGCUGACGAGCCUUCCCAGCUUCUGCACAGGGUUUAGUAAUCUCACAAUCCUGUUCACUUUUCAGGAUCAUCUCUCUGUAAGAUGGUGGCAUCCCACCCCCUGUUCCUAACACAGCACACACUGGGUCUGCUCCCAGUUAAAGCCCUGCCUUGUUAAUUAAAACUACAGAACCUAAACCCCAGUAAGUUUCCUCCUCUGCUCUGCUGAUGGUAGGUUCCUCCUUGCAGCAGCACUCCCUUUGCCCCUGCACCUAGUGCACCUGUGGCCUAGCAGAGCGAGCACUGGACUGGGACCCAGGAAACAUAAGUUUAACUGGCCCUGCUGGGUGACCUUGAGCAAGUCACGUCUUGGCUUUGUGCCUCAGUUUCCCUACCUAUAAAAUGGGGACAAUGCUGUUGACUGCCUUUGUAAAGGGCUGUGAGAUCUAUGGAUAAAAAGUGUGCUAUAUAACAGCUAGGAAUUAUUGUUACUUCUCUCUGGCUACACUCAACUCUUUUUACACUUUUUUACACCCUCUCUCUCUGUGCUUCUGCCUCAUGUCUCUUCUGUCUGGUUCCAUGCACAUGAGACAGAUUGUGGCUGUAGUGCUGACCAGACUAAGGGUGAGCAAAGGCAGCAACCAUACCAUGAAAUGAUAAUAACGAAUAAUAAUAUUGGGGAGACACGGUAACCAGGCUUGUUUGGCUCCGGCCAGGGUCAGUUCUGACUCAGGCACGUCCCUGGGCCAGCUCAGUCACCCCUGGUGUAUCUAGUGCUUCUGUGAAUCAGGAACAACUAAGUCAGGAGCCCUCCUUUACCCGGUAAACUCCGCGGGGGGGCGGACUUGGCUCAUCAGCUCCAGUCUGUUCUUAACUCCAAAGACUGCCUUGGGGGGGCAUCUAGUGGUUGCUGUGUCUCACUGCGCUUAUCAGGGUGCAAAUGAAGGUGAAAUUGCAUAGCUGGAGCAAGAUGUCAUCACUGUGGUGACAGUGAAGGGGGAAUAAGUCUAUUGUUCAGAGGGCAGGGGAAGGUGUGUCCCUCAAUUGGAAUAAGUCUUUCAAUUUGGGGGAGUUCAAAGAACCAGCUUGCUGCCCUCCCUAAAACCCUAAGGCUAGCCUUCCCUGUGGCUCCUGCACCUGCAUGUUGUUGUUAUUGAUUUGUAUUCCAAUAGCUCCUAGAGCUGAGAUCAGGGCCCCAUAAUGCAGGAUACUGUACACACAUACACACACUGAGAGACAGCCCCUUCCUCAAAGUGCUAACAACCUAAAUAGACAAGACAAAGGGCAAGAGAAAGGAAAUAUUAUUAACCCGCUCUUUACAGUUGGGAAACCGAGGCCCAGAGAGAUUAAAUGACCUGCCCAAAGUCACAUAGGAAGUCAGUGGCAGAGCAGGGCACUGACCAGAGAGCUCCUGAGUCCCCGUUCUGUGCUUUGUCUACAAGACCACUGCCAUAGGCUCCUUUUAAUUUUGGUGCCAUCCUUGAGCUCCUGGCAAGUUCCUGGCAUUGGCUCCAGUUGGGUGCCCCACUAACACCCUUGGGAUCACAGCUGUCUCGCUAGAAGAAAAGGCUUCCAAUGCCAUUCAGAUAAUAAAGCUAGUGACUGCUGUCUGACCAGCCUGCUUAUCUACUGAUAGACAGCCCAAGGCACUGUGGCUGGUCACUUUUAUUCCUGUACUGUACAGUGUAUUGCUGAUUUGCAGUGUCUGUUGAAAAGUUUCAUGAACUCUAUUCUGGCUAUGCCAAUGUACGGUGAGAUUUUGUAUAGGCAGCAUCCAUAGAUGUGGCAGGGAAAAGGGGUGAAGGAGAUUAUUACACAUAUCCACUGGCACCUAGAUACUACGGCCAGUUGGUGGAAUAGCCUGUCUGCUUUUAAUAUUUCAUGCGAGACUCAAACCAGGGCCCUCGUGAGAUCUUCGAACUACAGACACCAGAGAUGGAAAAGACUUAAGGCCCCCUUGAGUUCUUCUCCCGUGGGCAGUGCAGGAAUGUUCCCUAGCGAAUGCUUUAAAGGGCAGUUGUAUGUUUAGGAAUCGCCAAGCACCUGCUUAGAUUCCUUAACAGAACGCUUAUAUUAAACAAGAAAAACAGCUGCUCCCAUGAGCACUGACUUAGCCCAUGUGCAUACAGGAUGCUGUAAACAUUUCUUAGCGGAUUGUACUAGUAUCCAUCACCUUAAUGUCUGAGUGCAAUAUAACAAUGGUGCAACACGCAUAGCUAACAAGUGACCUGUCCAGCCUAGGUUUCAGAGACCUAAUUACUCGGUUUCAAAGCACUAAAUACUGAAUCUGCAGUUAGGUUUAUAUGCAAUUAUGUAUGCACAGGGAGUCUAGCAUAUUCUAAGGGCAGAAUUGUAAAGAGUCACACAAGUAGGUGUUUUGAUGCAGGGAAGUUGUGUGUCAGUAUCUAUAGAAACCCAUAGGGGCCUGGCAUGUGUU
Non-coding RNA from Chrysemys picta bellii (western painted turtle), 7673 nucleotides. The record is from RefSeq and is a predicted model, not a curated record. Lineage: Eukaryota; Metazoa; Chordata; Testudines; Emydidae.